UACGGAGGUCCCAAGCGUUGUUCGGAUUUACUGGGCGUAAAGGGUGCGUAGGCGGUGGGGUAAGUUUGAGGUGAAAGCUCCGGGCUCAACCCGGAAAAUGCCUUGAAUACUAUCCGGCUAGAGGGUUGGAGGGGAGACUGGAAUUCUCGGUGUAGCAGUGAAAUGCGUAGAUCUCGAGAGGAACACCAGUGGCGAAGGCGGCAGCCUGGGCUGCGACUGACGCUGAGGCGCGAAAGCUAGGGGAGCGAACGGG
This 253-nucleotide ribosomal RNA is filed under the name uncultured bacterium. RNAcentral describes it as "partial 16S ribosomal RNA". It matches the Rfam family "Bacterial small subunit ribosomal RNA", at positions 524 to 776 of the family's 1533-position model. The record is from RNAcentral.